Molecule: ribosomal RNA, 492 nt
Filed under: uncultured bacterium
Lineage: Bacteria
Description: partial 16S ribosomal RNA
Rfam family: Bacterial small subunit ribosomal RNA
Source: RNAcentral
AGUGAACGCUGGCGGUAGGCCUAACACAUGCAAGUCGAACGGCAGCACAGUAAGAGCUUGCUCUUACGGGUGGCGAGUGGCGGACGGGUGAGGAAUACAGCGGAAUCUACUUUUUCGUGGGGGAUAACGUAGGGAAACUUACGCUAAUACCGCAUACGACCUACGGGUGAAAGCAGGGGAUCUUCGGACCUUGCGCGAUUGAAUGAGCCGAUGUCGGAUUAGCUAGUUGGCGGGGUAAAGGCCCACCAAGGCGACGAUCCGUAGCUGGUCUGAGAGGAUGAUCAGCCACACUGGAACUGAGACACGGUCCAGACUCCUACGGGAGGCAGCAGUGGGGAAUAUUGGGCAAUGGGCGCAAGCCUGAUCCAGCCAUCCCGCGUGGGUGAAGAAGGCCUUCGGGUUGUAAAGCCCUUUUGUUGGGAAAGAAAAGCAGCAGGUUAAUACCCCGCUGUUCUGACGGUACCCAAAGAAUAAGCACCGGCUAACUUCGUG